Molecule: ribosomal RNA, 555 nt
Filed under: Bifidobacterium longum subsp. suillum
Lineage: Bacteria; Bacillati; Actinomycetota; Actinomycetes; Bifidobacteriales; Bifidobacteriaceae
Description: bacterial SSU rRNA
Rfam family: Bacterial small subunit ribosomal RNA
Source: RNAcentral
UCUCCUGGAAAACGGGUGGUAAUGCCGGAUGCUCCAGCUGACCGCAUGGUCUGUUGGGAAAGCUUUCGCGGUAUGGGAUGGGGUCGCGUCCUAUCAGCUUGACGGCGGGGUAACGGCCCACCGUGGCUUCGACGGGUAGCCGGCCUGAGAGGGCGACCGGCCACAUUGGGACUGAGAUACGGCCCAGACUCCUACGGGAGGCAGCAGUGGGGAAUAUUGCACAAUGGGCGCAAGCCUGAUGCAGCGACGCCGCGUGAGGGAUGGAGGCCUUCGGGUUGUAAACCUCUUUUAUCGGGGAGCAAGCGAGAGUGAGUUUACCCGUUGAAUAAGCACCGGCUAACUACGUGCCAGCAGCCGCGGUAAUACGUAGGGUGCAAGCGUUAUCCGGAAUUAUUGGGCGUAAAGGGCUCGUAGGCGGUUCGUCGCGUCCGGUGUGAAAGUCCAUCGCUUAACGGUGGAUCCGCGCCGGGUACGGGCGGGCUUGAGUGCGGUAGGGGAGACUGGAAUUCCCGGUGUAACGGUGGAAUGUGUAGAUAUCGGGAAAGAACACCCUGA